AACAUCGCGCACCUGCGGGAACCUGCGGAAGGAUCAUUACAGAGUUGCAAGACUCCCUAAACCAUUGUGAACCUACCUUCUACCGUUGCUUCGGCGGGCGGGCCCAGCGCCCCCCCGGCCCCCCGCGGGCGCCCGCCGGAGGAUACCCAAACUCUUGACAUUAGUGGCCUCUCUGAGUAUUCUUUACUGAAUAAGUCAAAACUUUCAGCAAUGGAUCU
RNAcentral lists this unclassified non-coding RNA (218 nucleotides) under soil metagenome. RNAcentral's name for it is "partial contains 5.8S ribosomal RNA, internal transcribed spacer 2, and large subunit ribosomal RNA". The record is from RNAcentral.